RNAcentral lists this ribosomal RNA (880 nucleotides) under Kocuria rosea. RNAcentral describes it as "bacterial SSU rRNA". It matches the Rfam family "Bacterial small subunit ribosomal RNA", at positions 57 to 946 of the family's 1533-position model. The record is from RNAcentral. Lineage: Bacteria; Bacillati; Actinomycetota; Actinomycetes; Micrococcales; Micrococcaceae.
GCAAGUCGCACGAUGAUGCCCAGCUUGCUGGGCGGAUUAGUGGCGAACGGGUGAGUAAUACGUGAGUAACCUGCCCUUGACUCUGGGAUAAGCCUGGGAAACUGGGUCUAAUACUGGAUACUACCUCUUACCGCAUGGUGGGUGGUGGAAAGGGUUUUACUGGUUUUGGAUGGGCUCACGGCCUAUCAGCUUGUUGGUGGGGUAAUGGCUCACCAAGGCGACGACGGGUAGCCGGCCUGAGAGGGUGACCGGCCACACUGGGACUGAGACACGGCCCAGACUCCUACGGGAGGCAGCAGUGGGGAAUAUUGCACAAUGGGCGGAAGCCUGAUGCAGCGACGCCGCGUGAGGGAUGACGGCCUUCGGGUUGUAAACCUCUUUCAGUAGGGAAGAAGCGAGAGUGACGGUACCUGCAGAAGAAGCGCCGGCUAACUACGUGCCAGCAGCCGCGGUAAUACGUAGGGCGCAAGCGUUGUCCGGAAUUAUUGGGCGUAAAGAGCUCGUAGGCGGUUUGUCGCGUCUGCUGUGAAAGCCCGGGGCUCAACCCCGGGUCUGCAGUGGGUACGGGCAGACUAGAGUGCAGUAGGGGAGACUGGAAUUCCUGGUGUAGCGGUGAAAUGCGCAGAUAUCAGGAGGAACACCGAUGGCGAAGGCAGGUCUCUGGGCUGUUACUGACGCUGAGGAGCGAAAGCAUGGGGAGCGAACAGGAUUAGAUACCCUGGUAGUCCAUGCCGUAAACGUUGGGCACUAGGUGUGGGGGACAUUCCACGUUUUCCGCGCCGUAGCUAACGCAUUAAGUGCCCCGCCUGGGGAGUACGGCCGCAAGGCUAAAACUCAGAGGAAUUGACGGGGGCCCGCACAAGCGGCGGAGCAUGCGGAU